AACGAACGCUGGCGGCAGGCCUAACACAUGCAAGUCGAACGCGCGUAGCAAUACGCGAGUGGCGCACGGGUGAGUAACACGUGGGAAUCAACCCUGAGGUUCGGAAUAACCGCGGGAAACUGCGGCUAAUACCGGAUGUCCCCUAUGGGGGAAAGAUUUAUCGCCUUGGGACGAGCCCGCGUCCGAUUAGCUAGUUGGUGAGGUAAUGGCUCACCAAGGCUAUGAUCGGUAGCNGGUCUGAGAGGAUGACCAGCCACACUGGAACUGAGAUACGGUCCAGACUCCUACGGGAGGCAGCAGUGGGGAAUAUUGGGCAAUGGAGGCAACU
Molecule: ribosomal RNA, 328 nt
Filed under: uncultured bacterium
Lineage: Bacteria
Description: bacterial SSU rRNA
Rfam family: Bacterial small subunit ribosomal RNA
Source: RNAcentral